Molecule: transfer RNA, 90 nt
Filed under: Bacillota bacterium
Lineage: Bacteria; Bacillati; Bacillota
Description: tRNA-Ser
Rfam family: tRNA
About the family: Transfer RNA (tRNA) molecules are approximately 80 nucleotides in length. Their secondary structure includes four short double-helical elements and three loops (D, anti-codon, and T loops).
Source: RNAcentral
CGAAGAGUAAGCCUAAUGGUAAGGCAGCGGUUUGCUAAACCGUCAGUAGUCGGCAACGGCGUGGAGGUUCAAGUCCUCUCUCUUCGGCCA